UAUCCAACAAAAGAUUGAAACGUGGCAGGUGAAGACUCGAUAUCUUCUCCGAAACUGUUUUCAGUAGCGCAGCGAUCCUUUUCCUUUUUCAUGAUUCACACAAACAUGAUAAGGGGAAGGAUUUUAUCAAUGACGGAGAUACAAUUAGUAGAUGUUUCAGAUCAACAUCAAACCAGGUGUCGACUUCCCAUUGAUCUUAAAUUCUUAAUUUUCUCUACUUGAAGAGUAUUAUAUGUGAUUUAUGUGAGUCCUUUAAGAGAUCGGAGACUGCAAUAUGUGCUUGAUUUUAGAAUAUCAUCACUGAUAAUUUUUAUUUUCAGUUUUGAAUUUUUUGACGUAGCAAAAUAGAUGAAGGCUGUUACCUGAUGGAUCCUUGAUCUGUUGGUUUUUUUAGAAAUUUUGGAAUCAUAGGAGCUUAAAUCUUUUCGUUAUUAAUCUGUUAAAUGAUCUCUGACUCUGUGUUUAAAAAGUAUCCAAAUCUCGUCCGGAUGGAUGCUUCCUCCUCUUGUUGAUGGGGACGAAUCUGAUUCUUCACCAAUUUGUAAUCGGAAGCGUAAAGGAAACGACUCGACACCUUUUACCUUUGAUAUAAUAUUCUCGAAUUUUUCUGAACUUGAUUUCUAUGCUUCAUAUCUGAAAUCUGAUCUGGUGUUAACGGCGCUGAUGAAUUUGUGUUUUCAUAGAAUCGCCAACUUAGGUAUAUUGUAAUUUAUGAGCAAAAUCUGUUCGUCUUAGAUCUGUUACAUGAUCUAUUUUGUGAAGAAAUAAAAGCUUCCAUGUCUUGUUGGUGAGGAUGAAUUCGUUCCUCUCCAAUUCGUAAACGGAAGCAAAAGAUAAACGUAAACUGCUCUUGAUUCACUUCUGCUUUGCAAUCUCUAUGCAACUGCAGUUCAGGCUGAUUCUCGACAUUC
Molecule: long non-coding RNA, 911 nt
Organism: Cynara cardunculus var. scolymus (artichoke)
Lineage: Eukaryota; Viridiplantae; Streptophyta; Magnoliopsida; Asterales; Asteraceae
Exons: 2
Source: RefSeq, a predicted model, not a curated record